AUGAACGCUGGCGGCGUGCCUAAUACCUGCAAGUCGAGCGAACAGACGAGGAGCUUGCUCCUCUGACGUUAGCGGCGGACGGGUGAGUAACACGUGGAUAACCUACCUAUAAGACUGGGAUAACUUCGGGAAACCGGAGCUAAUACCGGAUAAUAUAUUGAACCGCAUGGUUCAAUAGUGAAAGACGGUUUUGCUGUUACUUAUAGAUGGAUCCGCGCCGCAUUAGCUAGUUGGUAAGGUAACGGCUUACCAAGGCAACGAUGCGUAGCCGACCUGAGAGGGUGAUCGGCCACACUGGAACUGAGACACGGUCCAGACUCCUACGGGAGGCAGCAGUAGGGAAUCUUCCGCAAAGGGCGAAAGCCUGACGGAGCAACGCCGCGUGAGUGAUGAAGGUCUUCGGAUCGUAAAACUCUGUUAUUAGGGAAGAACAAAUGUGUAAGUAACUAUGCACGUCUUGACGGUACCUAAUCAGAAAGCCACGGCUAACUACGUG
Molecule: ribosomal RNA, 496 nt
Filed under: uncultured bacterium
Lineage: Bacteria
Description: partial 16S ribosomal RNA
Rfam family: Bacterial small subunit ribosomal RNA
Source: RNAcentral